CCGGGCGCUCCUCUUGGGGUCGGUGGCGGAGAGGACGGUGUAGACGAGGACGAAGGUGCCGAUGAUCUCGGCGCCCAGCCCGGUGCCCUUGCUGUAGCCGGCCUGGAGCAUGUUGGCCCCGCCGCCGUACCGCUUGUAGUAGGCCCUCUGGAAGGCCUUCACGAGGCCGCACCCGCACACCGCGCCUAGGCACUGGGCCACCAUGUAGAGGAUGGCCCGCACCAGCGACACCCUCCUCGCCAGGAACAGCCCGAACGUCACCGCCGGGUUGAUGUGCCCCCCUGCCGAUCACAGGCAUAGCAAAAAAUCAAUUCGAGCCGAACAAAGAUCCGAAACGAAAGUAUAAUAUGAACCCGGACUGGCGUCGCCCGGACUCGAACCGGAGACCUUCAGUGUGUUAGACUGACGUGAUAACCAACUACAUCACGACACCACUUCGCUUCCCAAUUCGAAAUUGUUUAACCUUAUUUGAGCUUAGCAUAAACCAUAUAACUACGCUAUUAGUAUUCUAAUCGGCUAUGUUGUGCGCACCAGAAAUGCCGGCGGUGCAGUAGACGAGGACGAAGAUCAUGCCGCCGAAGGCCCAGGCGAUGCCGAGGAGGCCGACGCCGUCGCACUGGUCCCCGCCGUGGGUCGUGUCGCUCUGUCUGCUGUAGCCGAUCACCGUCAGCACGGUGAUGUACAGGAAGAGGAGGGUGGCGACGAACUCGGCGAUGACGGCCCGGUAGAAGGACCACUUGACGAGCUCCUCAGCGUCCACCAGUGGCGCCGGCGGCGGGUCGCGGUAGUCCUUGCCGUGAAACUCCCCGCCCUGUUGCUCCACCACCUCGUCGUCCUUGGCCAUGUCCUUAAAGACCCUUUAAAACUUUCCGAGGACGGAAAUCGUGACGAGAGACUGGUAAUCUGUGGAGAGCGUGGUUGCUGAUCAGCUAAAAAGCGAAGGGGUGAGAGGGGUGGGAGAAGGUCUGUUUCGUUUUAUGGAGGGGUCUUGCAGAGAGAGUAGUACGAGAGUGUGCUGGGACUAUCGAGUGAACGAACGAGAAGGAUGUAGCGAGAUCUUUUUCUUUUUUUAGAUUAUCGUGUUUUCUUUUCUGGGCCCCACUUGGAUCUGAUUUUCCACGGAUUCUGAUGGCGAUCUGGCACUCUCUAUUAUUUGCUUGAGAUCCGAGGACGUUCCAGCGUGCUCGAGAGGGUUGCUAAGUAGAUUAAAGGGAAAACGUAACUUAGAAAAAGGGGGGACGAUAGAACUUUUCUUGCGGGGUAUUUCAUAGGCCGGGAUCGAAUUUACCUAUCUCGUGUGAAUUUUGGAAAAAGAAUUGAAAUUAGCUGGUAUUUCCUCCCGGAAAUUCAGAGUCCUGUACCCUCUUUUUCAUACAAAAUUUCCAUUUUAAUCCACCCAUGAAUGCUCUUCUUGUGUUAAAAGCCAGUAAUAAUGGCGGAAAAGCACGUCGUCCAUUCGCAGUUCGUCAGCAUUCUUUCUAUGCAAAUAUUCUAUUAUUAGCAGAAUAUUCUUCACACUAACAACCAAAAUCUGCUAAGCUUAGGUAACCAAAGCCCACCACGUCUGUCCCGUUUUAUCCCCCAUCAAUCAUCUAGCGGAAGGACACGUGUAAUUACGUUAUCUAAUAUUAUUCUUGAAAUAAAACUGCAAUCAUAGAACUUAGAUAACAUUGCACGUUUUUCAGGCAAGUCCCCGCGCGCGAAAUCUCCAAUCACUAUCUAAUGAACGACACAGGUUAGCGAUUUUCCUCGUUUAGAGGAAAAAAUCGUCGAGCGAGUUCUGUACAAGCGUGCCCAAGCGACCAUCCCAUCCUGGCCUCAACUUCACCACCACCGUCCGACUCCGACCCCACUCCAAUCGAGCUCGCCUCUCCGAUCUUAUCCGUCCACGUAGCACCUUCCUUGGGACGGGGAGUAGGGGUGGGCCCCGCGCCGUUGAUUUCUCUCCAAUCCAUUAGAUCCGACCUGUGCUGGAGAAGGGACGACGGGACAGAAGAGCCUCCAAAUACGAAUAUAAAAAAAAAACAAGAACAACUUGGCUCUCGUGGUGCCACGUGGCGGGGGCCCGGGGGUCCUAUGAAAGGGCUUUUGUCUGCAGGACGUUUAUAGCUAAGCUCGUGACGGAGGAGGGAGGGAGGGAGGGAGAAAAUCGAGGGGCCGAUGAGGCGUUCGGUCGCCCUGCCGUGUCGCCGUCAUCGGUUGGGAAUUUGUCGCGAUCAGACACGUGGGAAUCCGAUCGCCGUUAUCCGCAACUAGACGGUGGGUCUAUUGAGGAAUCGGAGGGCCCGUUUUGUUUGUUCAAAGAGUCGCCAGAUCCAAAACGUGGUCGGGCACAUGUUAAAAAUGUACUUGCCCUUUCGCUCGGACAGCGCAUCAUGUAUCGCUAUUUUUGAAAAUAGCAAUUUACGUCUAGAAACAUCCAUCAUCAAACCUAUCGGUAGACAGUUGUGAUGAUUCAGAGCUUGCUCCUCAUUAUCGAGAUCGCAAGUUCAAAUCUUCAAGUGCUAGCGUUUUAAGUAGAGAGUCAUGGUAGUGAAAAUCUAUGCUAAUCUCCUUCGAGGUUAUAAGGGUUCGGUCCUUCGGUACUGUCCAGGUAUGAGGGCCCGUGGUGAAGUCAUCGGUUAUAAAUAUAUAUAUAUAUAAAUCGUCAAUGUAAAUUUAGUGGGUCUUUUUAUCGGAAUAAAAUAACCUUCAUUUUCUCUCAUUUUUUUUUUCUAUAGUAAUUUUCGUUAAGGGCUAGAAAAUAUUCACCAUUCUUAUAUCUCUCAAAUCAACUCCAUAUCAAUAUGUCAAUGCUUGAAAUUCAAUUGCCACAUCGAUUAUUGCCAUGCGGCUUAUCAUUAUUUGCCGCGAAGAAGUAAUCUAGGAACACGUUGAGUGUAACGAUUUUUGGCCCCUCUUCCUAUUAUAUUGAUCAAGGGUACUCAUCGGCGUCACCCUGAUUUCAAAUUCAAUUUUUAAGUUAAAAAUGGAUAACCUCGCCAUAGUCCGUGCGCCCAAAACCCUCUUUUCCUCCCCUACUCUCACUCGCCGCACCAACAUCCUCCCCCCCUCCCCUUUUUUCCUCCCUCCCUCUUCCUCACUCCUCCAUGCUUUCCCCAUUACUCCUCUGUGCUCGACUGCUCUGGCGUUUGGUCGGGGAGGUGGAGCAGGUCGUGGAAGCCAUUGACGACCUUGGUUCGAGGUUUGCUGCUGAGUGGGGGACCUCGACGACCUCGCCAUGGUCAUCCUAGAGGCCGAGGGCGUGCGGGGUAAAGGGUGGAGGGGGGAAUAUGUUGGUGCAAAGAGUGAGAGUAGGGGAGGAAAGGGGUUUGGUCUUUUUCAUUUUGGAUUAAUGGUAGGGGACUGAAACACGUGUUUUUUGAAAAACAGUUUAUGUAAAUGGUCACUAGAUGAAAAUUCAACCGUGCAAUGAGUAUUUUUCCAAAAUUUUUCUUUUCUUUCCCACCUAAGUUUUAACGUUUUCGCUCAAAUUUUGAAAAAAUGUAAGAGAAUCAUAGGUGGAUUUAUAUAUCGAUAUUAUCUUAGAGUUUUCGAGUCGAGACAUAAUUGAAAUGCAUAAACCACAAGAUUUAUUUUCCAAAUCACCUUGUUAAUCAAAAUAAACAAGCAUGGUUAGUUAAAUAAAGUCAAGAAAAUUGAUAAAAAAAGAAAGAAGGACAAAAAUAAUGAAUCAACGAUUGGAUUCAUGAUCAACCCCUGAUUUAAUUUUUGAAAAACAAGUCAACAAUCUCUCGUGCAUAAAGAUAUAUGAUCACGCAUUCUAGACCAUUGAUAAAGCAAUUUACAAGGCCCUACUACCCUUGUAGAAUCAUUCCACCGUAAUGGACACAAUCUUAAAUCUUGAUAUUCAGGUGCAUUUCGGCCAAAAUGAAAAACAUACUUAACAAAUUUGUUUCGUGGAAAAUCUCCAUUUCAAAAAAAUGGUCUUUAUAAAUGAUUGCCAUUAUCAAUUAUAAUGAGUCAAUUAGAAUUAUAUUCAUAGUUGACUACUGACGGAUAAGCAAUGGUUCCACAUCUCUGUUGGAAAAAAUAUGGCUUUGAAUUGUGUAGAAUAAUGAAUACGGAUAUUCAGAGUACUUAAGUCGAACUUUGAGGCGUGAUAUCACUUUCUUUAAAGAUUUAUUUGUCCCACAAUAUUGCUAAUGGUCACCGGUAAAAAUCCUCCAAGAUACAACAAAGUCUUGGAUGAGAAUAAUACAUAGCAAUUUUAGUAUUUCUUCAGGGUCUCUUUAAGAAACAAUUGAAAGAAUGGCUAUAGUUUUUUCAGAUAGAAAGCUCGAAAAAGAUGAAAAUGAUCACUCUCGUUUUUCCGAAAAAUAACGAGUAUAUAUAUAUAUAUAACAGUCUUGCAACUCUUUGUGAAAAUUGCCAAAGAAUGAACAAACAUGUCCUUUAGAAAAAAUUGUUCAGAUAAACAAAUGCAACUUUUCGGAAGAAGUCGAAAACCGAACAAUUGCAACCUUUCAGGAAAAGUUACAAACCAAAUAAAUAAUUUUCCAAAGGUUGUCUCGAAAACACAAAUAAAAAAAAAUUCGGAAUAAUAGUUUUUUUUAUAAAUAUAAUUUCGAAUUUUCAUUUUAUAUUUCAUUUCCGAAAAUUCUCAAAUUAAAAAGCAACCUUCGAUUUGAAUUGAUUAAAAAUUAAUAACAUAAAAAAAUAACAAAUGGAUUAAUGCUAAUUAAACCGCGGGCGUGCUAAGUGCGCCAAAAAAUCGUGCACCUGCACGCGGGUAUGGUGGGGUCUAGCCCCACCCAAUCAUUCUUUUAAGUGAUAUAGAAAAUCCCGCACUUUUAAAUUGGCCUACUCUCUCCUACUUCUCCUUUGUGCGACAAGGAAAAAACACUCAGUUUAUUUUGACAAACAAACCUCCAACAAUCUCAUCUAACAAGCCAUUUCAAUUUUGUAUCGUGGACACGGCUCGAGCGGUUGGGCUAGUUUCUCCUGGGCCUUGUUCUGGAGGUGGAAAGGGAAAAAGGCGAAAGCAAAGAUGAGUGAUGAAAGAAGGACGGUGCAAUUUUCUUUUGUUCGGGAAACGAACGAAGAUGGAAAAGGGAGCAAAGUGAGAUGAAACACUUUGUCCUCGGCUUACGUAAAAUAAUCUCUCCAAUUUGCUGAAAUAUUCGGUGGUUCCAUGAGGCCAUAUGAGGUGCGCAUUUACGUACUCAAGUGCAAUUAUAGAUUGACGUGUCGACAUUGCUUUGAAAUUAAAAUAUAAAAAUCUCAUUUUUCGUUUUCUUCCUUCUCUAUCCAAAGAGCACCGCCCGUCUGGUCAUCCAGACUUGCGUCCGCUACCAGUCAUGGACUACCGGCAUCAAUGGCUGAUGGCCAGGCCAAGCCGUGUUUAGACCCUAAUAUGGACGGUCAUCCAUUGAUUUAUUCAAUGGCUUUAAAGAUCAAGAUAGGCGAGGCUAGAAAUGGAUGAGUAAUGAUGGAGCUGACCACGAGCGACGACAGAGUGGAUAGCAAGUUACCAUCUAUGGACGAACAAAUAGGGGUAAGCAUGUCGAACCGCCCAAACGGGGAAUCACCUAAAUCAGACCAGAUUGGCCAGUGUGGUUCUAUUCCCAAAGGGAUCGGUCCAAUUCUCAAUUUCAUAAAAAUGGAACCGAUGAUUAUCAGUCUAAUUCCCGGUUUCAGGAGGGAAUCAGACCGGACCAACUCUUUUUUAUUUAAAUAUAUAUUUUAAAUUUCUUAAAACAACAAUAAACCCUAAAAAUAGUAAUAAUUAUACUAUAUGUUUUUUAAUUUUUUUUUCUAAGUGAUCGGUUCCCAAUACUAAAACUGUCUAGUUCGAUUUCUAAUCCAAAAUUGGGAACUGGUUCUCCUAGUCCGGUUUUGGAUCCUUAGAUGGAGCUGGAUUGGACAAUCACCCCUAACAAACAAGACUUAGGCAUGUGGAUGAGCCAUGGACCAGUGACUAUGAUUAGUGACGCUACUAGCUCUCCAAAAUUGGCUGUCGAUGUAGCUUGUACCUGCUGACCAUGCUAGCUCUCUAGAUUUGGCCGUCCAUGGCCGUCGGUGUCUCUUGCGAGCCUUACUCGUCCAAGGGCGGUGAUGCUACGGGCCGUCUAGAUUUGAGCCUUACUUGUCCAUGGGUGGUGACGCUACGGGCGCUCUAGAUCUGGCCAAUCAUGGUUCGGCAUCGCUCGUGGGCCUUGAUCGUCCAUGGCUAGUGGCGCAAUUCAUGGUCGCGAGCCUCUGUCGUCCAAGGCACGCAAAAGGCAAAAAGAAAAUACAUAACGCGAAGUGACUUGUCUGAGGCCCAUGACCGACCAUCGAUGGAAGAAGAAUUCCGCGUCAAAAUGCACAUGUCAAUUUAUGAGUGGAUGUGAGGGGAAAAAAAAAAGA
Molecule: long non-coding RNA, 6351 nt
Filed under: Eucalyptus grandis
Lineage: Eukaryota; Viridiplantae; Streptophyta; Magnoliopsida; Myrtales; Myrtaceae
Description: long non-coding RNA (EGRA_LNC006602)
Source: RNAcentral